This 153-nucleotide ribosomal RNA is filed under the name uncultured bacterium. RNAcentral describes it as "partial 16S ribosomal RNA". It matches the Rfam family "Bacterial small subunit ribosomal RNA", at positions 349 to 521 of the family's 1533-position model. The record is from RNAcentral.
CGACAGUUAGGAAUCUUCGGCAAUGGGCGAAAGCCUGACCGAGCGACGCCGCGUGGAGGAUGAAGGCCUUCGGGUCGUAAACUCCUAAAAGAGGGACGAUAGUGACGGUACCUCUUGAAAAGCACCGGCUAACUCCGUGCCAGCAGCCGCGGA